UUGCCAGACUCCUACGGGAGGCAGCAGUGGGGAAUAUUGCACAAUGGGGGGAACCCUGAUGCAGCGACGCCGCGUGGGUGAAGGAGCACCUCGGUGCGUAAAGCCCUAUCGGCAGGGAAGAAAAGCGAACAGGUUCGCCUGGACGGUACCUGACUAAGAAGCCCCGGCUAACUACGCGCCAGCAGCCGCGGUAAUACGUAGGGGGCAAGCGUUAUCCGGAUUCACUGGGUGUAAAGGGAGCGUAGACGGCGACGCAAGCCUGGAGUGAAAGCCCGGGGCCCAACCCCGGGACUGCUCUGGGAACUGUGCGGCUGGAGUGCGGGAGGGGCAGGCGGAAUUCCUAGUGUAGCGGUGAAAUGCGUAGAUAUUAGGAGGAACACCAGUGGCGAAGGCGGCUUGCUGGACAGUAACUGACGUUGAGGCUCGAAAGCGUGGGGAGCAAACAGGAUUAGAUACCCUGGUA
RNAcentral lists this ribosomal RNA (463 nucleotides) under uncultured bacterium. RNAcentral describes it as "bacterial SSU rRNA". It matches the Rfam family "Bacterial small subunit ribosomal RNA", at positions 328 to 792 of the family's 1533-position model. The record is from RNAcentral.